This 238-nucleotide ribosomal RNA is filed under the name uncultured bacterium. RNAcentral's name for it is "partial 16S ribosomal RNA". It matches the Rfam family "Bacterial small subunit ribosomal RNA", at positions 97 to 334 of the family's 1533-position model. The record is from RNAcentral.
GGCGGACGGGUGAGUAACGCGUAGGAAUCUGCCCAUUAGUGGGGGACAACCCGGAGAAAUCCGGGCUAAUACCGCAUACGCCCUACGGGGGAAAGGAGGGGAUCUCUUCGGAGACCUUCCGCUAUUGGAUGAGCCUGCGUCGGAUUAGCUUGUUGGUGGGGUAACGGCCUACCAAGGCGACGAUCCGUAGCUGGUCUGAGAGGACGAUCAGCCACACUGGGACUGAGACACGGCCCAG